AAGUCGUAACAAGGUUUCCGUAGGUGAACCUGCGGAAGGAUCAUUACCAAAUCCAAAACUUUAUCAACACCAAACAAGUGAACUGAGAAUGGUUUCGUUCCCCUCUGCAUGUGCAUACAAUGUGUUUCCACAUUCGUGCGUGUGCGAAGGGGGAUGUUUUUUUUCAACCCCUUUUCAACCUCUUACAAUCUUUUAUGCUGAAAGCAAAAAAAAACGAAACAUGAGACAACUUUUAACGGUGGAUCUCUUGGCUCGU
This 256-nucleotide unclassified non-coding RNA is filed under the name fungal sp. RNAcentral describes it as "partial internal transcribed spacer region". The stretch from base 1 to 46 matches the Rfam family "Eukaryotic small subunit ribosomal RNA", at positions 1786 to 1831 of the family's 1831-position model. Lineage: Eukaryota; Fungi. The record is from RNAcentral.